AACGUAGGUGGCGAGCGUUAUCCGGAUUUACUGGGCGUAAAGGGUGUGCAGGCGGGCCAUUAAGUGGUGUAUGAAAAUAUCCCGGCUCAACCGGGAGAGGUUAUGCCAGACUGGUGGUCUAGAGAGCGAGAGAGGGACGUGGAAUUCCGGGUGUAGUGGUGAAAUGCGUAGAGAUCCGGAGGAACCCCAGAGGCGAAGGCGGCGUCCUGGCUCGCAUCUGACGCUCAGACACGACAGCAUGGGGAGCGAACGGG
This 254-nucleotide ribosomal RNA is filed under the name uncultured bacterium. RNAcentral describes it as "partial 16S ribosomal RNA". It matches the Rfam family "Bacterial small subunit ribosomal RNA", at positions 524 to 776 of the family's 1533-position model. The record is from RNAcentral.